This 446-nucleotide long non-coding RNA is filed under the name Capsicum annuum. RNAcentral describes it as "long non-coding RNA (CANN_LNC009007)". The record is from RNAcentral. Lineage: Eukaryota; Viridiplantae; Streptophyta; Magnoliopsida; Solanales; Solanaceae.
AUUCUGGGAAGUGAAGUUGACAUCUAUAUACUUUGAAGUUUUAGAUAUGGACUGCGGAGAAAUCUUAGGAGGGAGAACAGACACACUGGAGUUAGAUGGAGUUGAAGAAGUUAAAUCUGCACAGAUAACUGAAAGUGAAACAGCCGGAGAAUCAGAAAGACAUUUUGAAUUGAUGCUUGAAUCAGAUAAGAUGGAGUCCGGAGAGGGAUAAGGAGGUGAUGAGGCUGAUGACGACGAAGAUGAAGAUGACACAGCUGGAGAAUCAGAAAGACAUUUUGAAUUGAUGCUUGAAUCAGAUAAGAUGGAGUCCGGAGACGGAUAAGGAGGUGAUGAGGCUGAUGACGAUGAAGAUGAAGAUGAUUUUGAAGAUAACGAUAUUGUAGAUGGUGAUGAUGAGCACGAGGACGACGAAGACAACAUACAAGAAGAAUGUAGUUGUUUAGUUG